GACAGAGGGGGCAAGCGUUGUCCGGAUUUACUGGGCGUAAAGAGCGCGCAGGCGGUCGUUCAAGUCGCGUGUGAAAGCCCCCGGCUCAACUGGGGAGGGUCACGCGAUACUGAUCGACUCGAAGGCAGGAGAGGGUAGUGGAAUUCCCGGUGUAGUGGUGAAAUGCGUAGAUAUCGGGAGGAACACCAGUGGCGAAGGCGACUACCUGGCCUGUUCUUGACGCUGAGGCGCGAAAGCUAGGGGAGCAAACGGG
RNAcentral lists this ribosomal RNA (253 nucleotides) under uncultured bacterium. RNAcentral describes it as "partial 16S ribosomal RNA". It matches the Rfam family "Bacterial small subunit ribosomal RNA", at positions 524 to 776 of the family's 1533-position model. The record is from RNAcentral.